Molecule: long non-coding RNA, 720 nt
Organism: Physeter macrocephalus (sperm whale)
Lineage: Eukaryota; Metazoa; Chordata; Mammalia; Artiodactyla; Physeteridae
Exons: 3
Source: RefSeq, a predicted model, not a curated record
CCAGUCCUGAGUCUCAGUUUUCCAUCUCUACAAUGUGGACAAAUGGAGACAGUAAUGCUACCUCGUCUACCUGUUAUAAAGAGGAAAGGCAAUCAUAUAAAUGAUUACUUUUAUGAUUUUCCUUUGGAAUGAUGUGGCUUUGAGAAUUCAUUUAAUUGACAAUUGGUAACAAUCUGUUGGCAGUUUUCCUGAACACUUGGGGAUUCUUGUGAGAUGGAGAAAUUGAGCUAUCUGCAACCACUUAGAAACUGCCUUGAGGCCUGUGCCAGUGUGAUGGAAGCGGAAUUCUAACCCAGGUCCUUGGGGUUGACUGUUUGCAACAUCCGCCGCCUCACUGUCAACCGAGCCUGGAUUUCUGCUGUGAAACUCGGAAACACAUAAGAGAUUCAGGGACGUUUGCGUGAACAAAUAUCCUGGGCCCUAACUGGUGCAGUGCUUCCUCUCAAAAGCCUUAUGGCAGCCCUUCUAGGGGACCCAUCUACUUCAAAGGGCUCUUCCUCCAGCCACGUGAGCUUCUGGGUUGCUUUUCAGAAUCUCCAGCAGAGUCCCACCUCAUAGUCUUUGUACUUGCUCUUCCCUCUACUGGGAGCAGCCUCUCUUCCCCCAGGUACCUGCCUGGCAUUCUCUUUCACUGUUCCAGUGGCACCUCCUGGGCAAGGCUUUCCCCAACCCUGACUCCCUACCUGACCCCCUAUCUAAAUAACACAAUCCAUGCCCUCU